Molecule: ribosomal RNA, 429 nt
Filed under: Verrucomicrobiota bacterium
Lineage: Bacteria; Pseudomonadati; Verrucomicrobiota
Description: Verrucomicrobia bacterium partial 16S ribosomal RNA
Rfam family: Bacterial small subunit ribosomal RNA
Source: RNAcentral
UAGGGAAUCUUCCGCAAUGGACGAAAGUCUGACGGAGCAACGCCGCGUGAGUGAAGAAGGUUUUCGGUUCGUAAAACUCUGUUGUUAGGGAAGAAAAAAUGUAUAGUAACUAUAUACAAAAGAGACGGUACCUAACCAGAAAGCCACGGCUAACUACGUGCCAGCAGCCGCGGUAAUACGUAGGUGGCAAGCGUUGUCCGGAAUUAUUGGGCGUAAAGCGCGCGCAGGUGGUUUAGAAAGUCUGAUGUGAAAGCCCACGGCUCAACCGUGGAGGGUCAUUGGAAACUAAUAAACUAGAGUGCAGGAGAGAAAAGUGGAAUUCCUAGUGUAGCGGUGAAAUGCGUAGAGAUUAGGAGGAACACCGGUGGCGAAAGCGGCUUUUUGGCCUGCAACUGACACUGAGGCGCGAAAGCGUGGGGAGCAAACAGG